UGCUCGACUGUCCUCCAUCAUUUAGAACCGGGCGCUUCCUAUCCUGACUCUGCCCCGACACCUGAGCCCGCUCACGGAUCGAUACAUCUCCUCUCUCCACCCACAAUGCCUGCUCAAUCGACGUAUCCAAGGUCCUCAACCUCUACGCCUGCACCAACCGAAAGAUCUCCAGCCUCAAGCCUCCUUCGUACAGAUAUACCCUGUGGGCCUCAUCCCUAGCUACAAACGGUACACAGUUCAAAAGCCGAGUAAACUCACGAAUGUACUCCUGAACUGAGCGUUGUUUGAAGUAAAAAAAAAAAAAAAUUUGGGGCCAAUAAUUAUAAUUUAAAUCCAUAAUAGGCCCAUUCAUAUAUGCGAGUUGGUGGGCCUUUUGAAGGCCCGUUAAAAUUUUAAGCCAAUGUAAUAAUUUGGUCCUCAUUUCAGCCCAAUAAAUAUUAUUAUUUGUGCCCAACAAAUUUCAUUAAAAUGGGCUAAAUCAAUGACGGCCCAUAUCCACAAACUAGAAAAUAUCUAUUAUCCUAACAACCCCAUUCGAAAUUCGAUUUCAAAUCGCAACCGAUUCAAAAUUCAAUUUCGAAUUUCGAAUCCCCAACCAACCCCCAAAAAUCUCCCAACCAACCACAUCCAUUCGAAUUUUGAAUACCUAUUCAUCCAACAACCGAUUCAAAAUUCGAUUUGAAAUUUCGAAUCCCUAAUCAACCCCCAAAAUAUCUUCCAACCAAUCACAACUGAUUCAAAAUUCGAUUUCGAAUUUCGAAUCCCCAACCAACCCCCAAAAAUCUUCCAACCAACCACAUCUAUUCGAAUUUUGAAUAUCUAUCCAUUCAACAACUGAUUCAAAAUUCGAUUUCGAAUUUCGAAUCCCCAACCAACCCCCAAAAUAUCUUCCAACCAACCACAACAACCGAUUUCGAAUUUCGAAUCCCCGACCAACUCCUAAAAUAUCUUCCAACCAACCACAUCCAUUCGAAUUUUGAAUUUCUAUCCAUCCAACAACCAAUUCACGAAUCCCCAACCAACCCCCAAAAUAUCUUCCAACCAACCAUAACAACCGAUUUCGAAUUUCGAAUCCCCAACCAACUCCCAAAAUAUCUUCCAAUCAACCACAUCCAUUCGAAUUUUGAAUAUCUAUCAAUCCAACAACCGAUUCAAAAUUUGAUUUCGCAUUUCGAAUCUCUAACCGACUUAAAAUAUCUCUCGCCGCCCCUUCUACUAUAAAUAUGAGAAUAAAAAUCAAUACGGGGGACGAUACAAAGAGAUGAGAGAGCAAAUAGAUAGAGAGAGACAACGAAAAAAAAAGAGGAGAGAACAAAUAUAUAGGGAGAGACGAUAGCAAUAGAGAGAGAGAUUACGAUAAAAAGAGGAGAAAUAAUAUUAUUUCUACCCUUGCUACACGCUUUUCUACGUACAAAAAAAUUCAAGGGAGGAGAGAUCGCCGAGCCGCGGAAAGGAGGAGAGAUCGUUGAGCCGCUUUAUCCAAUCCGUCAUUUGAUCAACAGAUAAAAAAAUAAUAAUAAUAAAACAUGUCAAAAAAAUAAAAAAGAUACAUUUUCGCCCUCUCUUUUUCUUUUUCUUUUUUUUUAGGUCCUGCUACCGUAGUCAUCCAUAUCAUCUAGACGACUUCGAUGGGAGAGUGGAGGGGAGCCAAUGGCUUCCCGUUUCUUCGAACCUCUCAAUACCUCAUUCGACACUGUUAAUUGAUGGAAUGGGUGAUCUACAUUGCCGCGACCACCUCCA
Molecule: long non-coding RNA, 1740 nt
Filed under: Ananas comosus (pineapple)
Lineage: Eukaryota; Viridiplantae; Streptophyta; Magnoliopsida; Poales; Bromeliaceae
Description: long non-coding RNA (ACOM_LNC015035)
Source: RNAcentral